UGUUUUUUAUAUCCAAAUAUAUAGGAUAUAACGACGCCUUAACUUGUAAACUAUGUAUUUGGUGAGUUUAGUAAAUUUGUUGAUGGACUCAUGAAAACAUUUCAUGGGGUGAUUGGAAAAUGGUACCUGUCAGAUUUAUUAAAGUAUU
Molecule: non-coding RNA, 148 nt
Organism: Lupinus albus (white lupine)
Lineage: Eukaryota; Viridiplantae; Streptophyta; Magnoliopsida; Fabales; Fabaceae
Source: the annotation of a GenBank genome assembly